Molecule: long non-coding RNA, 1091 nt
Filed under: Marmota monax (woodchuck)
Lineage: Eukaryota; Metazoa; Chordata; Mammalia; Rodentia; Sciuridae
Source: RNAcentral
CGGGAGAGAGCCAAAGACCUGGAAGCCCUACGAGUGCUCAGCAGGACCACUUCUUUCGAAAACUCGGAUUUGACGAUCCAACCUGUGUGGCUCUUCUCCCGGCUUGUGUUGUGGUCCCGAGUGUGUCCGUCCUCUCUUUGGGACGCCAAGAGGGGCAACCUUAACUAAACCGCCCAGUGUCCACGCAUCUAGUCCUCCCCCUUCUGUGCCUCCACCGCAUCCCCCGGUUCCGUCACCUCGGAACGCAGACCUUUGCUUCCCUGGGCCACUCCACGAGAGUGGAGGCUCUCGUGGGCCCCAGCCCAGGCUCCCGCCAGGCACUUAGCCGUUCUGCAGCGUUUUGUGACUUGGUUUUUCCUUCGAGGGUUACCUGAAAUAUUGACUGGUAUAAAAUAGAUAUCUGCAUGCUCUGUACUUUUUUUUUUUUUUUUAACUUUUGUAUUUAACCCGGCUCCACUCUUGUCCAGGCUGGGGAAGACCGGUGGACCGCCGGAGGUUGGAGCGCCGGCCUGCUCCGACGUUCCCUUGUGCAGGUCCCCUCAAUUCUGUGAGUCUCCGUUUAUUCUUGUGUAAAAUGUGUAGAUUGGACUUGAGACUCUUGAGGCUUUCCCGGAGGAGACCGAUGAUCUGUCAAUAGGCAUGUUUGCGUACAAGCAUGUUGAGAGUUUCACAUCGUUUAUCUUCCCAGGAAAUGCUAUGGGAAAUCAAAUAGAAGGGAUAGCGUAGCCCACAUUUUACACGCACACACGCACUCACACGAAAGAAAGAAAAGGAAAUUAAAGGAGGAUCUCAAUGGUGAAACUAAAGCCUUUCCUGUUGAAGUCAGGACCAAGGUUUACUGGAUUGUUAAAGGAAAUUGGGCAAUCUAAAUAUUUUAAAAACGGUGCAAGUAUAGAUUAUUUAAUUGGGUGACCUGGGAAGAGAAAGACCAGAGUGAAAGGAAAAGAGUCUAAAAGUCUCUGAAUAUACUUCGUUUAAUAUAUAUGAAUUUGGAAAUAUAUUUUUACAUUAUUAUUAUUAUUAUUUGAAAAUAAAUCUCUAAAAAUUGAAAGUGAAAUGUGUGUCAGAUGUCUUUAGAAAUGACUUUAAAC